This is a long non-coding RNA of Mesocricetus auratus (golden hamster), 546 nucleotides long. RefSeq lists it as uncharacterized. The transcript has 3 exons. The record is from RefSeq and is a predicted model, not a curated record. NCBI's taxonomy places the organism in Eukaryota, Metazoa, Chordata, Mammalia, Rodentia, Cricetidae.
UCUGAUACCAUUCAUAUUUACUCAGGGCCAAACAACCAAGUGGAUGACUCACAAAAAAAUCUCAAAUGAACUAAAACAAGGCAUCUCUUGUAACUUUUAGUCUACUAUCCCUCAAGAGGAACAGACCAGAACUGUAGAGUUGGAGAAAACAAUCACAAUGAAUGCUAUUUCUCAAACCCGACACAGCAAAUAUUGGAGACCAGCAUGGCUCUGGGAACACCUCAAAUAACACAUGGAAUGGAACCAGGUUAUGGCUUGUCAGAAAAGAAGCCAGGCAAAGGAGAAGUAGGGACAAGUAAAGAAAAGAUUGGGUUAAGCAAUGCAAGGCAGAGCUCCAAAUGGACUUAACCCCACCUGGGGGCUGUUCCUGCACUUGAGUACUGAGCAACAAGUACAAGUGGUACAGCUGCAGAGGCCACGGUUCCCAAGGCCUGAUCCCUGGACCAGCAGCAUCAGCACCACUUGGGAACUUCCUAGAGAUGAGAAUGCUGAGCCUCCACCUGCAGUCCCCUGCCACAGUUCAUUUUGUGUUGCUGCAAUAAAGUG